UGGCGACCGGCGCACGGGUGCGUAACGCGUAUGCACCCUACCUUUAACAGGGGGAUAACACUGAGAAAUUGGUACUAAUACCCCAUAAUAUCAUAGAAGGCAUCUUUUAUGGUUGAAAAUUCCGAUGGUUAGAGAUGGGCAUGCGUUGUAUUAGCUAGUUGGUGGGGUAACGGCUCACCAAGGCGACGAUACAUAGGGGGACUGAGAGGUUAACCCCCCACACUGGUACUGAGACACGGACCAG
This 244-nucleotide ribosomal RNA is filed under the name uncultured bacterium. Its description in RNAcentral is "partial 16S ribosomal RNA". It matches the Rfam family "Bacterial small subunit ribosomal RNA", at positions 89 to 334 of the family's 1533-position model. The record is from RNAcentral.